Molecule: ribosomal RNA, 253 nt
Filed under: uncultured bacterium
Lineage: Bacteria
Description: partial 16S ribosomal RNA
Rfam family: Bacterial small subunit ribosomal RNA
Source: RNAcentral
UACGUAGGGUGUAAGCGUUGUCCGGAAUUAUUGGGCGUAAAGAGCGUGUAGGCGGCUUGAUAAGUCUGCUGUGAAAGUCCAGGGCUCAACCCUGGAAAGCCGGUGGAUACUGUCAAGCUAGAGUCCGGAAGGGGCGAGUGGAAUUCCUGGUGUAGCGGUGGAAUGCGCAGAUAUCAGGAGGAACACCGGUGGCGAAGGCGGGUCUCUGGGCAGUAACUGACGUUGAGGAGCGAAAGCGUGGGGAGCGAACAGG